AGCCGCUUCAUGGACAUGGUGCAUGCCAUGCCACUGCCAUUGCAUACUGCCCUUGGCUUUAGUGUUGGACUGGUGAGGAAGAGAGGGGAUGCUCUCGCAUUAGGAGUUGAACAAACGAACUACAUGUACUAGUAGUAGUAACUGUUACUUUUAAUCUUUGCACCUGUUCAUUUUCCUGGUGCAGUGGUGGACUGGGAGUCGUGUCGGUGAAAAUCCUGUACUGGACUGAACCGUAACCAACCGCCUGACAUGCAGUGGGCAGGGUAUGCAAUGGCAGAUACCAAUAAUUGCUGUAUCUUUUCAAACGAAUCCUGAUGACAAUAAUGAGUGAUAUUAAAUUUUGUGGAUACUCGACAUCAUUCCAGUGCAGUAAUACUCAGCAGAGAUCUGUAUGCAGAACGGCACACUGCGGCACUGGUUGCUUAGCUUAGUCAGCGGCUGGAACUGGAGACCGUCGAUGAGUGAAAGUCCGCGAUCCAAACUCUGGGAGAGUUUAGUGCAUUCCCAGCGUGCUGUGAGCUGCAUCAGGGUGGAUGGCGCGCGACUCACUGCACACUACCCGUGACAGGGACAACGAACACGAUCGACUCUGAUGUAGGCUACUAUUCCGACUCCGGUAGGUCUCCAGGCGCGAGGCGUACUUAGAUCAUGAAGGCCAGCGUGACUGACGAGAGAAUCACCAAAACCUUUCGACCAAACGGUCAACAAAUGAAUGAAGUGCAAUAAUGGGAUGGAAGCAAGGAGGUGAAGGCGGAAGACCAGACCGUUUGCUGGACAGCUAGAAGACGUGUUAUGACCAAUGCCGUAAUACAGCCGAGUAGUACACUGUCAGUGGCCAGCGCUGAAAUAGGGUGAUCGUGGAUUUGUGGGCCAUGCCCAUGUGCCAAAAGCAUCCAACAAGGACUAUAAUUGUACCUUCAAAGACUCAAAGAGGAAUGUGGACAAGGAGGCGAGUCGCAAGGGAAAGGAAGAGCCUGAUCGGUUUGAGAAGCAGUAGCUGAAGCAUUAACAAGGCUAGCAAUUGAGCAAGACCAGGCUUGCUGCCGCCGUCAGUCUCGUUGGCACAAAGAUGUCACAGUAAUCAAAACAAUACUCAGAGCGGCCCGUCCGCAUCUUCUGUACAGCAAAGUAGCAGAUAGAUUGCCAUCAAGAACACUGGUCACAUUAUAUUGUACAAGGGUCCUUGCAAGUGGAUAUAUUAUAAAUAGGUAUGUUGUAUUAGUACUUCCUUGCUUGCUUGCUUGAUGUUGUUCGGUUUUCACCCGUUAUGCUCCCAGUUUACGAGUAUGUUUGUUUUUCGUGUCCUGUACUUGAUCAUUGCAUAUCUGUAUGUAGGUGUGCUGUGUGUGUGUGUGUGUGUGUGUGCGUGUGUGUGUGUGUGUGUGUGUGCGUGUGCGCGCGUGUUUAUGUGUUUAUACAUACUGUACGUGGAAGCGCGGAUGUCACACUGAUUAUAGUGUGGCAGUCUCGGGUCUGUAUGCUCUACAUGAGUAAAUACCGUGACCUGCCGCUACGCUGGUUUUUACUGUUUUCAUCACUUUUCCCCAUUCUCGCAGCAGAGCGAGCUGAAUGCAGGCUUUCACUCAUCCAUCCGUCCUAAACUUACCGUCAUUUUCUCCUAUUUUUCAAGUAUCCUGUGAAUCAGUAUGUUUGUGAGCAGCAGAUGAAACUACCGUGUUGAACAGCGUUCACACACAAACUCUUACAACAAGUUAGUAAGCACAGUGUUGUUGUGCUUGAUGCUUGAUACAGUCGUUAUGCAUUGCAGCUGAAUGGUCUUUGUUGUCAGCUUGUCCUAUCCUUGCUGUGAAUGGUCUUGGUUCUCAGCUGUUUUUUAUUUUUUAUUUUUUUAUUUUUUAUUUUUACA
Molecule: long non-coding RNA, 1867 nt
Organism: Sycon ciliatum
Lineage: Eukaryota; Metazoa; Porifera; Calcarea; Leucosolenida; Sycettidae
Exons: 3
Source: RefSeq, a predicted model, not a curated record